This is a long non-coding RNA of Zonotrichia leucophrys gambelii, 727 nucleotides long. RefSeq lists it as uncharacterized. NCBI's taxonomy places the organism in Eukaryota, Metazoa, Chordata, Aves, Passeriformes, Passerellidae. The record is from RefSeq and is a predicted model, not a curated record. The transcript is spliced from 4 exons.
GUAAUUUGGGACAAAAAAAAGAAAUUGAGCAUUGAAAUUCUUAAAAAGGUGAGUUGAGAGAAAGGAAGACUCUGGAAAAGGAACCUGUAUAAUCACAGCUUGUUGCUGCUGGGACAGGGCACAAAAAGGGAGUGACAAACUGCUUGCAAGGUUUCCCUUUAAAAAGUUCAGUUCGUUUUUUAACUCUUACUUUUUCCCGGAAGACUGGUUGCUGUAGGACAGAGGUGUUUUCUAGAUGCAGCACAAGAGCUGGGCUGCCCCAAAGUCAGUGCAGCAGAUGAGCCCACCCCCUUUGCAGCACCCUGGGAGCCUGGGAUGGGGCUGGUGCAUCCAGGCAUGGGCAGGUGACAGGGCUCAGCUGUCAGAGUUUUCCAAGGCAGGAAUGCUGCAGGCAGCUCACCCUCUGGCAUCAGGGCUGCACUUCCAUCUCCUCUCAUCAUGCACUGGUUGUGGCCAUACAGCCUGGCAGCAUCUCACCAGUUCCUGCUGGAAAAAACACCAUUCGCUGGCCCCAAAACACCAUUCAAAACUAAUGGAAAUGUGUGAGUGUCUCCCACAGGAACAAAUUCAGGGAGAAGCAUCAGCAGCCCCAGUGACAAUUUGAUGGUUGCAUGUUCAGGCAAUGAUUCUGUGGUUACCAAUGUUUAAUUUUAUAAACCUAAAAGUAGCACCAUUGAUUAUAUAAGAAUUACUCAUGCAUGCAUAAAUAAAAGCUUGCUGGACCUAA